RNAcentral lists this ribosomal RNA (368 nucleotides) under Arvicanthis niloticus (Nile rat). Its description in RNAcentral is "partial 12S ribosomal RNA". The record is from RNAcentral. Lineage: Eukaryota; Metazoa; Chordata; Mammalia; Rodentia; Muridae.
GCUUAGCCCUAAACCUAAAUAAUUCAAUAACAAAAAUAUUUGCCAGAGAACUACUAGCCAUCGCUUAAAACUCAAAGGACUUGGCGGUACUUUAUAUCCAUCUAGAGGAGCCUGUUCUAUAAUCGAUAAACCCCGUUAUACCUCACCAUCCCUUGCUAAUUCAGCCUAUAUACCGCCAUCUUCAGCAAACCCUAAAAAGGUACUAAAGUAAGCACAAGAACAAACAUAAAAACGUUAGGUCAAGGUGUAGCCAAUGAGAUGGGAAGAAAUGGGCUACAUUUUCUUUUAAAAGAACAUCACGAAACCCUUUAUGAAACUAAAGGAUAAAGGCGGAUUUAGUAGUAAAUUAAGAAUAGAGAGCUUAAUUG